This is a long non-coding RNA of Vicia villosa (hairy vetch), 913 nucleotides long. RefSeq lists it as uncharacterized. Lineage: Eukaryota; Viridiplantae; Streptophyta; Magnoliopsida; Fabales; Fabaceae. The transcript is spliced from 3 exons. The record is from RefSeq and is a predicted model, not a curated record.
CCCAUAUUAUGAUCAAGCAUGAUUAUGAAAUACUAAGAAAAUAUUAUGGACUAAUUUGCAUUAAGAAAGAUUAGUUGGAGUAGAAGGAAAUUGGUUAGGAACUAACCAAGUGGCUAUUGUGUAAAUAUGGCUUAGUUUGAGGGCAUAAUGGACCUUGAGUAAUGUUGCAUGUUAUAAGGCCUUGUUUGGGUGCAUGCUAUUCAUUUUUGUUUCACAAUUCAGAAUUUGGAGCAAGAGAGAAAGGAGGAAGUUAUGUUCAUCAAUUCCAUUUUCGCACCCUAAGAACAGCCUCCACUAAAACAGCUUCUAUUUCGAAGGAGAAAACUGACCUUGAAGUUGUGUCAGUGAUGCUGAAAGUGGGUACAAGUGUGAUUACGGAUUUGAUGAAGAUGGAGUGAAACUUUGGCUAUGGUGGGAGUCCAAUGGCAGCAAACAUCAUCUUUCUAAACCUCCAUUUUAGCAAGGUGCAGUUAGUAGCGUUUGGUCAGUAACAGGUUUGGACUGAUGACUUGGAAGUGGUGUUGGCUCGAAGACCUCAUUGGUUUUGACAUUCCGCUGUGCAAGAUCCAUUGAAGACUUAUGUAUUAUGCUUCUUAGUAGAAUAUCAUGUUGUAUUUUAUAUGGAUCUUUCUACAACUAUAGCUUUUGUAUGUACUCAAUAUCAAUUUUAACGUUUCAUGCAUAAUAUACUAGUCAGUUAUGUAUGGGGUGUUACAGUUGGUAUCAGAGCAGGUCGAUUCUCGGCCGAGCCAUGAGACAUCACUAGCAAUUCCUUUUCCUCCUCUCAAGUGUGCGUUGCUAGCCUGAUUUUACUGAUAUCUCAUUCAGUUGUUGAACUUGAUCAACUCAUCGACUGAGUGUGAGACAGUAGGAUUACGGCAGAGCCGCCACGAGGACUCGUAAGCCUGUAAGG